GAUGAACGCUGGCGGUGUGCCUAAUACAUGCAAGUCGUACGCAUUCUCGUUUCUGAUUGACGGUGCUUGCACCUAAUUGACGAGACAUUGGAAUGAGUGGCGGACGGGUGAGUAACACGUGGGUAACCUGCCCAGAAGUGGGGGAUAACAUUUGGAAACAGAUGCUAAUACCGCAUAAAGGUCAAAACCACAUGGUUUUGAUUUAAAAGAUGGCCUUUGUGCUAUCACUUCUGGAUGGACCCGCGGCGUAUUAGCUAGUUGGUAAGGUAACGGCUUACAAAGGCAAUGAUACGUAGCCGAACUGAGAGGUUGAUCGGCCACAAUGGGACCGAGACACGGCCCAUACUCCUACGGGAGGCAGCAGUAGGGAAUCUUCCACAAUGGGCGCAAGCCUGAUGGAGCAACACCGCGUGAGUGAAGAAGGGUUUCGGCUCGUAAAACUCUGUUGUUAAAGAAGAACGUAUCUAAGAGUAACUGCUUAGGUAGUGACGGUAUUUAACCAGAAAGCCACGGCUAACUACGUGCCAGCCGCCGCAGUAA
This 540-nucleotide ribosomal RNA is filed under the name uncultured bacterium. RNAcentral describes it as "partial 16S ribosomal RNA". It matches the Rfam family "Bacterial small subunit ribosomal RNA", at positions 28 to 523 of the family's 1533-position model. The record is from RNAcentral.